AAAACAACUCUCAGCAACGGAUAUCUUGGCUCUUGCAACGAUGAAGAACGCAGCGAAAUGCGAUACGUAGUGUGAAUUGCAGAAUUCCGCGAAUCAUCGAGU
RNAcentral lists this ribosomal RNA (102 nucleotides) under Distichophyllum hainanense. RNAcentral describes it as "partial 5.8S ribosomal RNA". It matches the Rfam family "5.8S ribosomal RNA", at positions 1 to 97 of the family's 154-position model. Rfam says of the family: 5.8S ribosomal RNA (5.8S rRNA) is a component of the large subunit of the eukaryotic ribosome. It is transcribed by RNA polymerase I as part of the 45S precursor that also contains 18S and 28S rRNA. Lineage: Eukaryota; Viridiplantae; Streptophyta; Bryopsida; Hookeriales; Daltoniaceae. The record is from RNAcentral.